UACGUAGGAGGCGAGCGUUGUCCGGAUUUACUGGGCGUAAAGAGCGCGCAGGCGGUCGUUCAAGUCGCGUGUGAAAGCCCCCGGCUCAACUGGGGAGGGUCACGCGAUACUGAUCGACUCGAAGGCAGGAGAGGGUAGUGGAAUUCCCGGUGUAGUGGUGAAAUGCGCAGAGAUCGGGAGGAACACCAAUGGCGAAAGCAGGUACCUGGACUAUUACUGACACUCAGCUGCGAAAGCUAGGGGAGCAAACAGG
This 253-nucleotide ribosomal RNA is filed under the name uncultured bacterium. RNAcentral's name for it is "partial 16S ribosomal RNA". It matches the Rfam family "Bacterial small subunit ribosomal RNA", at positions 524 to 776 of the family's 1533-position model. The record is from RNAcentral.